GAGGCCGGCGGCAGCGGGCGGCAGCUGCGGCGCAACCGGCUCCGGAGCUGCCUGGCGCGGCCGGGCGGGCGGCGCCGCUCAGGCUCGGGCUCCGGCUGGGCCCGGCGCGGCCUCGGGGCUGCCCAUGGGGCGCGGGGGGCCGGGCCGGUGACGCCGGACGCCCAUGGACGCCUCUGAGGAGCCGCUGCCGCCGGUGAUCUACACCAUGGAGAACAAGCCCAUCGUCACCUGUGCUGGAGAUCAGAAUUUAUUUACCUCUGUUUAUCCAACGCUCUCUCAGCAGCUUCCAAGAGAACCAAUGGAAUGGAGAAGGUCCUAUGGCCGGGCUCCGAAGAUGAUUCACCUAGAGUCUAACUUUGUUCAAUUCAAAGAGGAGCUGCUGCCCAAAGAAGGAAACAAAGCUCUACUCACGUUUCCCUUCCUCCAUAUUUACUGGACAGAGUGCUGUGAUACCGAAGUGUAUAAAGCUACAGUAAAAGAUGACCUCACCAAGUGGCAGAAUGUUCUGAAGGCUCAUAGCUCUGUGGACUGGUUAAUAGUGAUAGUUGAAAAUGAUGCCAAGAAGAAAAACAAAACCAACAUCCUUCCCCGAACCUCUAUUGUGGACAAAAUAAGAAAUGAUUUUUGUAAUAAACAGAGUGACAGGUGUGUUGUGCUCUCCGACCCCUUGAAGGACUCUUCUCGAACUCAGGAAUCCUGGAAUGCCUUCCUGACCAAACUCAGGACAUUGCUUCUUAUGUCUUUUACCAAAAACCUAGGCAAGUUUGAGGAUGACAUGAGAACCUUGAGGGAGAAGAGGACUGAGCCAGGCUGGAGCUUUUGUGAAUAUUUCAUGGUUCAGGAGGAGCUUGCCUUUGUUUUCGAGAUGCUGCAGCAGUUCGAGGACGCCCUGGUGCAGUACGACGAACUGGACGCCCUCUUCUCUCAGUAUGUGGUCAACUUCGGGGCCGGGGAUGGUGCCAACUGGCUGACUUUUUUCUGCCAGCCAGUGAAGAGCUGGAACGGAUUGAUCCUCCGAAAGCCCAUAGAUAUGGAGAAGCGGGAAUCGAUCCAGAGGCGAGAAGCCACCCUGUUAGAUCUGCGCAGUUACCUGUUCUCUCGCCAGUGCACCUUGCUGCUCUUCCUGCAGAGGCCGUGGGAGGUGGCCCAGCGCGCCCUAGAGCUGCUGCACAACUGUGUGCAGGAACUGAAGCUCUUAGAAGUCUCCGUCCCACCUGGUGCUCUGGACUGCUGGGUGUUUCUGAGCUGUCUGGAGGUGUUGCAGAGGAUAGAAGGCUGCUGUGACCGGGCACAGAUCGACUCAAACAUUGCCCACACUGUGGGGCUGUGGAGCUAUGCCACAGAAAAGUUAAAGUCCUUGGGCUAUCUGUGUGGACUUGUGUCAGAGAAAGGACCUAACUCAGAAGAUCUCAACAGGACAGUUGACCUUUUGGCAGGUUUGGGAGCUGAGCGACCAGAAACAGCCAACACAGCUCAGAGUCCUUAUAAGAAACUGAAAGAAGCAUUAUCAUCAGUGGAAGCUUUUGAAAAACACUACUUAGAUUUGUCCCAUGCCACCAUUGAAAUGUAUACAAGCAUUGGGAGGAUUCGAUCUGCUAAGUUUGUUGGAAAAGAUCUGGCAGAGUUUUACAUGAGGAAAAAGGCUCCACAAAAGGCAGAAAUCUAUCUUCAAGGAGCACUGAAAAAUUACCUGGCUGAGGGCUGGGCACUCCCCAUCACACACACAAGGAAGCAGCUGGCCGAAUGUCAAAAGCACCUUGGACAAAUUGAAAACUACCUGCAGACCAGCAGCCUUUUAGCCAGUGACCGCCACCUCACUGAAGAGGAGCGCAAGCACUUCUGCCAGGAGAUACUUGACUUUGCCAGCCAGCCAUCAGACAGCCCAGGUCAUAAGAUAGUGCUACCCAUGCAUUCCUUUGCACAACUGCGAGAUCUCCAUUUUGAUCCCUCCAAUGCCGUGGUCCACGUGGGCGGCGUUUUGUGCGUUGAGAUAACCAUGUACAGCCAGAUGCCUGUGCCUGUUCACGUGGAGCAGAUUGUGGUCAAUGUCCACUUCAGCAUUGAGAAAAACAGCUACCGGAAGACUGCGGAGUGGCUUACCAAGCACAAGACGUCCAAUGGGAUCAUUAACUUUCCACCUGAGACCGCACCUUUCCCUGUAUCCCAAAACAGUUUGCCCGCGCUGGAGUUGUAUGAAAUGUUUGAGAGAAGCCCAUCUGAUAACUCCUUGAACACGACUGGGAUUAUCUGCAGAAACGUCCACAUGCUCCUGAGAAGGCAGGAGAGCAGCUCCUCUCUAGAGAUGCCCUCAGGGGUGGCUCUGGAGGAGGGUGCCCACGUGCUGAGGUGCAGCCACGUGACCCUGGAACCAGGGGCCAACCAGAUAACAUUCAGGACUCAGGCCAAGGAACCUGGAACGUAUACACUCAGGCAGCUGUGCGCCUCGGUGGGCUCCGUGUGGUUCGUCCUCCCUCACAUCUACCCCAUUGUGCAGUACGACGUGUACUCGCAGGAGCCCCAGCUGCACGUGGAGCCGCUGGCUGAUAGCCUUCUGGCAGGCAUUCCUCAGAAAGUCAAGUUCACUGUCACUACCGGCCAUUAUACGAUAAAGAAUGGAGACAGCCUGCAGCUCAGCAAUGCCGAAGCCAUGCUCAUUCUGUGCCAGGCGGAGAGCAGGGCCGUGGUCUACUCCAACACGAGAGAACAGUCUUCUGAGGCCGCGCUCCGGAUUCAGUCCUCCGACAAGGUCACGAGCAUCAGUCUGCCUGUUGUGCCUGCGUACCACGUGAUCGAAUUUGAACUGGAAGUUCUCUCUUUACCUUCAGCCCCAGCACUCGGAGGGGAGAGUGACAUGCUGGGGAUGGCAGAGCCCCACAGGAAGCAUAAGGACAAACAGAGAACUGGCCGCUGCAUGGUUACCACAGACCACAAAGUGUCGAUUGACUGCCCGUGGUCCAUCUACUCCACGGUCAUCGCACUGACCUUCAGCGUACCCUUCAGGACCACACACACCCUCCUGUCCUCAGGAACACGGAAAUAUGUUCAAGUUUGUGUCCAGAAUUUGUCAGAACUUGACUUUCAGCUGUCAGAUAGUUAUCUUGUAGAUACCGGUGAUAGUACCGACCUGCAACUAGUACCACUGAACACGCAGUCCCAGCAGCCCAUCUACAGCAAGCAGUCGGUGUUCUUCGUCUGGGAACUCAAGUGGACAGAAGAGCCUCCCCCUUCUCUGCAUUGCCGGUUCUCUGUUGGAUUUUCCCCAGCUUCUGAGGAACAGCUGUCUAUCUCCUUAAAGCCGUAUACUUAUGAAUUUAAAGUGGAAAAUUUUUUUUAACUCCCUGGAAAUAUUUCUUGGAGUCAUUUCAUCUUCAGGGGCAUUGCUUUCUAAGGCAUAUCUCUAGUUUUUCAAAGAAAAGCUGAAAACAUAUGAAAACCUGCUAGCUGAGUAUUGUGAAGAUUUUCUUAGAACCUGUGCAUCAUUUGGUAGAAGCCAAUUUGAGUGUGGAAUGAAGAGUAGCCUUGAGCUAGACAUUAUACAACGUGAAGGCUGAGAUCUUUCCCCCUUCGGGAAUGGAGUAUUGCAGAACAGGCUCCCUCUGCUCCCUGGAGGUUUUGAUCACGAGGCUCUCAGACCUCUUGGAGGUGGAUAAAGAUGAAGCACUGACUGAAUCUGAUGAGCAUUUUUCGACAAAGCUUAUGUAUGAAGUUGUCGACAACAGUAGCAACUGGGCAGUGUGUGGGAAAAGCUGCGGUGUCAUCUCCAUGCCAGUGGCUGCUCGGGCCACUCACAGGGUCCACAUGGAAGUGAUGCCGCUCUUCGCCGGGUAUCUCCCCCUGCCCGACGUCAGGCUGUUCAAGUACCUCCCCCAUCAUUCUGCACACUCCUCCCAACUGGACGCUGACAGCUGGAUAGAAAACGACAGCCUGUCAGUAGACAAGCACGGGGACGACCAGCCGGACAGCAGCAGCCUCAAGAGCAGGGGCAGCGUGCAUUCGGCCUGCAGCAGCGAGCACAAAGGCCUACCCAUGCCCCGGCUGCAGGCACUGCCGGCCGGCCAGGUCUUCAACUCCAGCUCGGGCACACAAGUCCUGGUCAUCCCCAGCCAAGAUGACCACGUCCUGGAAGUCAGUGUAACAUGACAACGCCAGGGUGAACACACGCCACUUCCCAGCUAGGAGUGCACUUUAUGGGACUGUGACUGGACUCUUCUCCGUUCUGGCUCCAGCCAGACCUUCAGUGGUCCUGCCUGGCCAUGGGGACAUCAGAGAGUGUCAUCACGCAGCUGGCCAGCUGAGUUCUGUUGUUGUUUUCAUGCCGCCUGUGAUCUCAGAUUCCUGCUUUUCUCACCCCGUCCCCAUGCUGGUGUCCGACGCCGCUUACUCAGAGCCCUGGCCUCCCUCCCCCUACCUCACACGCUGCUCAUGAAAGUUUCCACCCACGCUGUCUCCACGGAACAGCCUCCGUCUGCUGGCUCUUCGUGGAAGGCCAUUUGUCUUUCAGGUAGACACUCAGCAGGCCUCACGGUCUUAGUGACGUGUGUGCCUUUCUGGUCACACAGCUGCCCAGUUUCCUGAUCGGGGUGGAUUUGUGUCCCCUAAGGGGUAAAACAGCCAUUUACCGCAGAUCCUCUCAUUGUGCUUUUCUAGAAUAACACCCUUCUAGGGGAGGCGGGUGGGGGAGGGAGGGAUCAUAACCCCUUCUGUGCCUUGGGACGCCGGAGCUGGGGGACCUGGAGGCCCAUCAGCCGGAGCCACGUGAAAGAUACUGAAGAAAGCUGAGACCCGGCUGUGAGGAGCGCCUCAGCGGUGAGGUGGUUUAGGGAUAAAUGUUUCUGGAACCCUGUGGUCCCCCAUAAUGUUGAUAGAAUAUCAUAUGCACUGGGAGUUAAAUAUAUUUAAUUUAAUGAUCAUUAUAUAUGUGGGGGUUAAUAUGUUGUUUUUCUGUCCCUUUAAAGUCUUUACAUGUAAUUGUAGCUGUAUAAUCGUUAUUUUUCUUUUGCAUCUUAAGUCUUAGAAAUUAAGAUAUUCCAUCGUGAGGAUGAGAGAGGUCCUCAGGGUGUUUUUGGUCUGGUUGUAGGGAAGGACUCAAGUCCUGGAAUGUCCUCCACUGGUCUACUGAGUUGCAGUCACACUGUUCCAAUGGAUUAUUUGCUUUCGGUUGUAAAUUUAAUUGUACAUAUGGUUGAUUUAUUAUUUUUAAAAAUACAGACUAACUGAUGUAAUGUUUAUGUAUAAGUUGCACCAAAAAUCAAGGACAAAAAUAAGUGUGUUUGUUUUUACAGGUGUGAAAGUCACAGCUUGUAAAUAAGUGUUGUAUGUAUUAAACCUUUUCCAGUUCUCCAAAGCGAUGUAUUUUUGUACUUUUGAAAUAGAGUACUCUUAAUUUACUGGGCAAAUGUGCUUGGAAUUGAACUUGACAAGAUUAGCUCAAGCAGAUAGAGUCGGGUCCAGCAGUGGGUGGCCCUCGUGUGAAUCCCCGUGGAUGUGCAAGUUGUGGAGAGAAGGAGCACCGGGUUCCUGCCCAGCACUGUGCUUGCGGGAGGCGGUGGGGCAUGGGAGGAAGGAGGCACAGACCGGGGAAAUAUGACAGCCGUCAUUUCCAGUAUUCUCUGUGUUGUCUUUUAGCUCAUUCAAUAAAUAAAGGUGGUGUGAUUUUUUUUUCCUCCUGUCUUUUUCAUUUGUGGAAAUUGGAGACGUGUAAAGAAGAUAAAUAAUUGUGUAAUUAAACUUUCCAGAAAUUUAUCUUCCUCAUGUGCAGUUUAACAAACUUGGUCAAACUAGUUAGCAAAUUAGAACUUCAGAAUCUAAUGAUAGUUUAGGGUUUCUAAAAUAAGGUUUUUUAUUGUAAAAAUUGACGAUUGCCCUGCAUUUCUACCAAGUCCUGUGAAUAAAGAGAUGGGAGAUUUGAUUCCGUCAGAAGAGCCUGUAAUCCGUGUCGUCAGCCUGGGAGCCUUCCCCAGUGUAAUGUAGCUUUCUCUCUUACCUUCUGGAAGAGGGAAUGUUUCAUUUAUUACUGUUUGAUUUUCUUGUAUCUGGUUCUACUCCCAGGAUGAAAUUAUCCAACUACAUAUAUAUUUAGAGGAAGAAAGUGAAGGGGAAAUUUCAAAUGUUUACGGCGCUUAAUUGCCUGGAAAUGGAAUGAAAUCAAAUUUAUCAGUUUUUUCCCCCUAAUUACCCAAAAGAUCUUUUGCAAACUAUGUUACAUGAAUGCUUCUGCCUCUUUAAGACAAAGAAGAAUGUCACCCAAAAUUGUCAUUUUUUUCUUAAUGUUCAUCAUAAAAGUCCUAAAAGAGUAACUGUAAUUGGAUGUUUAUUGUUUUUAUAUAAAGUAAGUUGUAUGUGUUUGAGCCAAGCUGGUUUGGUUGAUAAAGAGAUGUUAAAUAAUUGUGAAGCCAGAUAUGCAAUGUGUAUCUGAAAAGCAAGGAAUUUGCAGCCGUUUUACAAAUAUCUGUGGAACAUGUAAAUACUGUCAAAUGGAAAAUAAAAUGUUAUAAUUUUUGUGAAUUUCAUGGGAUGUCCUAUGAUUGGAAAAAUUAUAACUCUUCUGAUUCUAAUGUGGAAAUUGUUGUAUUUAAUCUGAAAAUGACUUUACCUACAACAGUUCCAUUGUCAGCACAGCCUAGGAGGGUCAGAUUCCUGUAUUAAUUACUCUUAGUGGAGAUGCCAGAUAUCCCAUACAGAAUUAGCAGAGAAAAUACACACAGGCUUCUAUUCAAAUUUUCUUUAGUGCUUAAAAUUAAGUUUUAAAAUGAAAUCAGACACUGCAGGUUUGUAUAUAAAAUGAAAAGCUAUACUACUUUUUAUAAAAGGGCAAACUGGGCUGAUGUAAAUGUUUUACUUUCAACUGUGUUCUUUAAAAUAAAUCCUACCUGGUUUUUAAAUUUUAUUUUUCAUGAAAAUGCUCCUUUCUCUACAUUUAUUCAUCCUAUAUACAUCAGGCUGUAAGACCCCCCCCAGGCAUCAUUAAUACAAUGUGUUGGGAUUCUGUGACUGGAAAAGGUGACAAGUUGGUGACUUUGACACUGCAGGUAUUCCAUUUUCAUGGUUUACUAUGAAAAGUCAUUUUUCAUAUUAUGUAAUAUAUUGUUAGAUUAAAACCAUUGUAUUAAGACUGUUUAAAAUGUAAGCAUUGUAAUUCUGAAAAUACACAUUUUAAGAAGAAA
Pan troglodytes (chimpanzee) is the source of this 7163-nucleotide RNA transcript. It is a transcript of the gene named trafficking protein particle complex subunit 10, with no coding region annotated. The record is from RefSeq and is a predicted model, not a curated record. The transcript has 24 exons. Lineage: Eukaryota; Metazoa; Chordata; Mammalia; Primates; Hominidae.